This 253-nucleotide ribosomal RNA is filed under the name uncultured bacterium. RNAcentral describes it as "partial 16S ribosomal RNA". It matches the Rfam family "Bacterial small subunit ribosomal RNA", at positions 524 to 776 of the family's 1533-position model. The record is from RNAcentral.
GACAGAGGGUGCAAACGUUAUUCGGAAUUACUGGGCGUAAAGCGCGUGUAGGCGGCUAAGUAAGUCGGGCGUGAAAUCCCACGGCUCAACCGUGGAAGUGCACUCGAAACUGCAUAGCUAGAGUCCUGGAGAGGAAGGUGGAAUGCUUGGUGUAGAGGUGAAAUUCGUAGAUAUCAAGCGGAACACCGGUGGCGAAGGCGGCCUUCUGGACAGUGACUGACGCUGAGACGCGAAAGCGUGGGGAGCAAACAGG